CCCUUAGAUGUUCUGGGCUGCACGCGCGCUACACUGAAGCGUUCAACGAGUAUUCACCUUGCCCGGGAGGGUUGGGUAAUCUUUUGAAAACGCUUCGUGAUGGGGAUAGAUUAUUGCAAUUAUUAAUCUUCAACGAGGAAUUCCUAGUAAGCGCGAGUCAUCAGCUCGUGCUGAUUACGUCCCUGCCCUUUGUACACACCGCCCGUCGCUCCUACCGAUCGAGUGAUCCGGUGAAUAAUUCGGACUGCAGCACUGCUUGGUCUCCAGGCUUUGCAGCGGAAAGUUUAGUGAACCUUAUCACUUAGAGGAAGGAGAAGUCGUANCA
This 325-nucleotide ribosomal RNA is filed under the name uncultured eukaryote. Its description in RNAcentral is "partial 18S ribosomal RNA". It matches the Rfam family "Eukaryotic small subunit ribosomal RNA", at positions 1470 to 1796 of the family's 1831-position model. The record is from RNAcentral.